This 768-nucleotide ribosomal RNA is filed under the name uncultured Paracoccaceae bacterium. Its description in RNAcentral is "bacterial SSU rRNA". It matches the Rfam family "Bacterial small subunit ribosomal RNA", at positions 57 to 872 of the family's 1533-position model. Lineage: Bacteria; Pseudomonadati; Pseudomonadota; Alphaproteobacteria; Rhodobacterales; Paracoccaceae. The record is from RNAcentral.
GCAAGCCGAGCGCGCCCGUUCGGGGUGAGCGGCGGACGGGUGAGUAACGCGUGGGAAUAUGCCCUUCUCUAAGGAAUAGCCUCGGGAAACUGAGAGUAAUACCUUAUACGCCCUACGGGGGAAAGAUUUAUCGGAGAAGGAUUAGCCCGCGUUAGAUUAGGUAGUUGGUGGGGUAAUGGCCUACCAAGCCUACGAUCUAUAGCUGGUUUGAGAGGAUGAUCAGCCACACUGGGACUGAGACACGGCCCAGACUCCUACGGGAGGCAGCAGUAGGGAAUCUUAGACAAUGGGGGAAACCCUGAUCUAGCCAUGCCGCGUGUGUGAUGAAGGCCUUAGGGUCGUAAAGCACUUUCGCCAGAGAUGAUAAUGACAGUAUCUGGUAAAGAAACCCCGGCUAACUCCGUGCCAGCAGCCGCGGUAAUACGGAGGGGGUUAGCGUUGUUCGGAAUUACUGGGCGUAAAGCGCACGUAGGCGGAUUAGUAAGUUAGAGGUGAAAUCCCAGGGCUCAACCCUGGAACUGCCUUUAAUACUGCUAGUCUUGAGUUCGAGAGAGGUAAGUGGAAUUCCGAGUGUAGAGGUGAAAUUCGUAGAUAUUCGGAGGAACACCAGUGGCGAAGGCGGCUUACUGGCUCGAUACUGACGCUGAGGUGCGAAAGUGUGGGGAGCAAACAGGAUUAGAUACCCUGGUAGUCCACACCGUAAACGAUGAAUGCCAGACGUCAGCAAGUAUACUUGUUGGUGUCACACUAACGGAUUAAGCAUCCCGC